Long non-coding RNA from Alnus glutinosa, 386 nucleotides. RefSeq lists it as uncharacterized. The transcript is spliced from 3 exons. Lineage: Eukaryota; Viridiplantae; Streptophyta; Magnoliopsida; Fagales; Betulaceae. The record is from RefSeq and is a predicted model, not a curated record.
CGUACAAUUUUUUUUUUGGUUCAAAAAUAUGAUUUUUAAUGUCAGAGGAUGAUUAGACUUUGUCAAUCGUUUGGUUUAAGGUUCUUAAAGAUGGUUUGCUAAAUGGAGCAGCUGUACUUGGGGUUCCUGUAAUAGCUACGAUCAAAGAGUAAAGGACUUGAAGUCACGGAUGACGUAUCUAUUGUGGAGCACCUGAAGCAUCCUGUAUACGUUACUGAAGGAUCUUAUACCAACAUCAAGGUCACAACCCCAGAUGAUUUAUUGCUUGCAGAGAGAAUAUUGAGUAUGAGCUCUGGAGAGUCUUCUUAGCCAGCCCUAACUGUCUGGCUUAAUUUUUGUAUUUUAUGUUUGUUCCAUUCUUUUAGCAACUUUGUUGUCUGUUUUGA